AGAGGGAACAGCCAAGAGUUGGGGCCCGGUAGCUGCUGACUACAGCCACAGGAGGAGGGAGAUGCAGAGCCUCACACGACCCAGACUCACACAAAUGCUCCAAGACCAAGAGAUUAAAAAAUAUCCUCAGACAUGUCUGGACACCAGACCCACAGAGCCACAGGUCCAGGACUCCUGCCCUCAAACCACAGACAUGCGUGUCUGGCCAAGGGAAAGGAAAGACACAGUAAGACCCCCCCAAGACCGAACCAUGAAGCCAACCACAGAUACACAAGCCCUGAAAUAUGCAAUUCAGACACACAUAGAUUUGCAGAUCGCGAGAGGCAAUUACGGACAUCCACGCACUGCACCCUGGGAGCCCCCUGAGUCCUGUCAUGAGCCUCACUCACUCUAUUCCAGCUCUGAGCCAGGACCCCAGAAGGGCAUCUAACCCAAGCACUGCCCUGGAGGCUCCACUUCUGAGAACAGGGAGGUGAUCACAGCUCAGCGUGACAGUGAACCAAGCCUGCCGCAGGGCACCGGCACACAUGCUCCCCAGCCUCAGCCAGAUAGCACCAGCCAGAAAGUGAGCCCCCUCGCCUGUCUGCCAAGCCUUCUCUCCCUGUUCACCCAUCACCAUUGCACACCCCUCCAGACCCCGUCCAGGGCUGGGUGCUGGGAAAGCAGCAAUGAUCAAGGCAGCCCUGGGAUCCAUCCCCACUGGGUUCAGAGUCUGGGGGGAGAGGGAGGUCCACUCCAGACCAUGAGCUCACAGGACUGGGAUGGGGGGGCCCCAGUUGGGGUAUGGGAGCACAAAGUAGGUGCCUGACCCGGCCUGGGGGGUCAGGGAGGCACCAAUACUGGGAUCUGAAGCCUGCACAGGAGUGUGUCGCAGCCCCUAGGGAGUUGCCUGCCCAGUAGACCCCGGGGCUGAGAGAAGGGUCAUUCAUCCAGUGAUUUGCUCAGUCUUGACCCUAGGCCACACCCUGCCCUGAUUCAGCUGCGUGACCCAUGUGGACUCCUGCUCUCCGAAGAGGCCCAGGCUGGUGGGAGCAACGGUGGAGAAGGCAAAGCUGAGGAGUCCGAGGGUGCCCAGUGAAGGUUGGCAGUAACGUGUGUUAUGGUUUGGAGGUUUCACACAUCACUAAAUCCAAGGUGCUCGCCAGACACCUUCUUCUUGGUGCCACUAACAAAGAUCUCACCCAUAGAACGAUGCCACGAAAUUUCCUUACUGUUUAAAUUUUUAAUUUCCUAGUUACUGGAGAGCUCCUGGUCAACUUAUUUAGGAAACCCAGAUCCUCAGCACACAUCGGUUGGGGGUACAUGUAACACAACAGCCACGUCUCAUUCUUUGGAGUCACUUUGCCUCUGAGUCAUUGACUUCCACACUGCUCAGCCUCCUCACCUCAGAAGCCCAGAUGAUGCUACUCCAUUGUCACAUCCAGGCAGUGACAGCCACGUCACAAUGGCUUCCUGGCUGACAGUGAUGACAGCACCAUCAUCGGUUACACUUCCUGAUUUCAGAAUGGUUACGAUUAAAAAAGGAAAAAUAAAAAA
Molecule: non-coding RNA, 1536 nt
Organism: Ictidomys tridecemlineatus (thirteen-lined ground squirrel)
Lineage: Eukaryota; Metazoa; Chordata; Mammalia; Rodentia; Sciuridae
Source: RefSeq, a predicted model, not a curated record